GCCUGGGUGGCUCAAUCGGUUGAGCAUCUGACUUCAGCUCAGGCCAUGAUCUCACAGCUUGUGGGUUUGAGCCCCUCCUCGGACU
Molecule: transfer RNA, 85 nt
Filed under: Felis catus (domestic cat)
Lineage: Eukaryota; Metazoa; Chordata; Mammalia; Carnivora; Felidae
Rfam family: tRNA
About the family: Transfer RNA (tRNA) molecules are approximately 80 nucleotides in length. Their secondary structure includes four short double-helical elements and three loops (D, anti-codon, and T loops).
Source: Rfam by way of RNAcentral